ACCGGUCUUUCUGAGUUCUCGUCCGCUCACACUGUGUGCCACGUGUGAGUUGAAUCUUCACCUUUCUCUGCUCUCUUCUCCAGAUCAUGGAUUAACAGCCAAUGCUGUGUAUGAGGAAAUAGGCCCUGCCACAGAAACAGAAGGUUCUGAAGUAGUUGGGAAGCACAGUUUCUAUUCAGCCGUUCAGUUAAAACCACUAAACCAAGGUCCUACUGCAUAAUUGGACACAGGGAUCCAUAUUCACUCAGUCUUACCUUCAUAUGUGAGGGAAUAUAUUCUCGCUAUAGGUACAUGCCACUAUAUCCUACUAUAUGUUUUCAUAUCAUAUGUAUUUUAAGGUCACUAUGUUGCACAUUAAAUAAUGAUAUGCAGUUGAACCACCCUA
Anguilla anguilla (European eel) is the source of this 385-nucleotide long non-coding RNA. RefSeq lists it as uncharacterized. The transcript is spliced from 3 exons. NCBI's taxonomy places the organism in Eukaryota, Metazoa, Chordata, Actinopteri, Anguilliformes, Anguillidae. The record is from RefSeq and is a predicted model, not a curated record.